AUCCACUAGGGGUGCUUUAUGCUGAGAUAGACUGCGGUCUGAUCCCUUUGAACCUGAUUUAGUUAAGACUAACGUAGGGAAGUGGCA
RNAcentral lists this non-coding RNA (87 nucleotides) under Lapidilactobacillus gannanensis. Its description in RNAcentral is "TPP riboswitch (THI element)". It matches the Rfam family "TPP riboswitch aptamer (THI element)", at positions 6 to 93 of the family's 105-position model. Rfam says of the family: Vitamin B(1) in its active form thiamin pyrophosphate (TPP) is an essential coenzyme that is synthesised by coupling of pyrimidine and thiazole moieties in bacteria. The previously detected thiamin-regulatory element, thi box was extended, resulting in a new, highly conserved RNA secondary structure, the THI element, which is widely distributed in eubacteria and also occurs in some archaea. Analysis of operon structures identified a large number of new candidate thiamin-regulated genes, mostly transporters, in various prokaryotic organisms. The record is from RNAcentral. Lineage: Bacteria; Bacillati; Bacillota; Bacilli; Lactobacillales; Lactobacillaceae.